UGAUAUUAAGCUAUAAUAAUAGAAAAAUAGAUCAUGGAAAAUAAAUGUUCUAAUUAUUCUUCAUUAGUCAGAUGAUAUGUUAAGCAUCGCUUUGCCAUCUUGGCACUCUGAGAACUUACUCUUCAUCCUACAGAGAUGGCUGGAACAAAAAAACUUCAGAGGCGGUGCAUGUUGGAAACAUCUGAAGAGAAAUCUCCAGCACAGAAAGCACCAGGAGCAAAUCAAAGAAGCUUCUAUUAUGGUUUGCUUCUAAGCAAUUCUACUUGGUCCCACCUCCUUGACUCAGAUGAAUUUCAAAUGCCCAUAUCCGGUUCUAAAGCAAAGUUGCAUUGGAAUUUUUACUGAAAUUUUAUUCUAAUGAUCCACUAGUAUGGGGAAAAUUGACAUCUUUAUAGUAUUGAAUGUUCCAUGCAGAAACAAGAGUCUCUCUUUGCCGCCCAGGCUGGAGUGCAGUGGCGCAAUCGCGGCUCACUGUAGCCUCCGCCUCCUGGAUUCAGUCGAUUCUCCUGCCUCAGCCUCCCAGUGAUUUUUUUCUUAUUGUCCCAGUUCAUUUGCCAAAAGUCUAAGCUUUCCCAUUUGUUAGAAAUGCUUCUUUACUAAAAUAAAUUAAAUUGAAUUUACUUAAA
This is a long non-coding RNA of Pan troglodytes (chimpanzee), 626 nucleotides long. RefSeq lists it as uncharacterized. The transcript is spliced from 4 exons. The record is from RefSeq and is a predicted model, not a curated record. NCBI's taxonomy places the organism in Eukaryota, Metazoa, Chordata, Mammalia, Primates, Hominidae.